This 100-nucleotide transfer RNA is filed under the name marine sediment metagenome. RNAcentral describes it as "tRNA-Gly". It matches the Rfam family "tRNA". From Rfam's summary of the family: Transfer RNA (tRNA) molecules are approximately 80 nucleotides in length. Their secondary structure includes four short double-helical elements and three loops (D, anti-codon, and T loops). The record is from RNAcentral.
GCGCUCUUAGUAUAGUGGUCAUUAUGCCAGGUUGCCAUAUUUUAAUGUUUUAUUAAAAUGCAAAUACUUGGCGGCCCGGGUUCAAUUCCCGGAGGGCGCA